Molecule: ribosomal RNA, 492 nt
Filed under: uncultured bacterium
Lineage: Bacteria
Description: partial 16S ribosomal RNA
Rfam family: Bacterial small subunit ribosomal RNA
Source: RNAcentral
AGUGAACGCUGGCGGUAGGCCUAACACAUGCAAGUCGAACGGCAGCACAGUAAGAGCUUGCUCUUACGGGUGGCGAGUGGCGGACGGGUGAGGAAUACAUCGGAAUCUACUUUUUCGUGGGGGAUAACGUAGGGAAACUUACGCUAAUACCGCAUACGACCUACGGGUGAAAGCAGGGGAUCUUCGGACCUUGCGCGAUUGAAUGAGCCGAUGUCGGAUUAGCUAGUUGGCGGGGUAAAGGCCCACCAAGGCGACGAUCCGUAGCUGGUCUGAGAGGAUGAUCGGCCACACUGGAACUGGGACACGGUCCAGACUCCUACGGGAGGCAGCAGCGGGGAAUAUUGGACAAUGGGCGCAAGCCUGAUCCAGCCAUACCGCGUGGGUGAAGAAGGCCUUCGGGUUGUAAAGCCCUUUUGUUGGGAAAGAAAAGCAGCAGGUUAAUACCCCGCUGUUCUGACGGUACCCAAAGAAUAAGCACCGGCUAACUUCGUG